RNAcentral lists this long non-coding RNA (701 nucleotides) under Heterocephalus glaber (naked mole-rat). RNAcentral's name for it is "lncRNA (ENSHGLG00100045061.1)". Lineage: Eukaryota; Metazoa; Chordata; Mammalia; Rodentia; Bathyergidae. The record is from RNAcentral.
CCAUAUUCACCCAUUUAUUUAAAGGGGUUUUUUCCCUAAAGUGUAUUUGCAAAUACACUAUGAGGCUAGAGGUUGCCAGAGGCCAUUAGAGAGGAGGCAUGGAAAGCCCCCUGGAGAGCAAGAAGAAGGCUGGAACCUGGGCCAAGGCAGCCCAGGACUGAGAGCCAAGUAAGCAUGGGAAUUGUCCCAGCUAUAGUUUCUGGGAAAAUAAAUAGGCCUACCUGUUGACUUUUGACCUGCAGACUCCGUUCUUGCAAAAGGCAAACCAGACCAUACACUUUGGGGAUUCCCGCAAGAAGAUUCCUAAAACUGAAACUGGGGACUCUAGGAGGACACACAUCAUUAAGGAACUGGGCUUUCCUCUGAAGAGACUACCAAUUUGCAUUCCACCUACAAUGGAUGAGAAUCUCCAUCCUCCAAAGAUGAAAAAGAGGAUAUUAUCAUUCUUUUUAAUCUUUGCCAUCUGGAAGUUGCAUUCUGCUGAGCCCAGGAGUUAGAGAACAGACCACAGAGAUUUAAGUUCUCACUUGCGGGAAGUAGAUUUCAGUCCGCAUCCCAGCUCUGAAGCCCCAUUUCUCCUGGUGUAAAAUGAGCAGUCCCUUGCUACACCCUUCCACCAUGAUAUUUCUGCCUUGGAGCCAGCCUACCACAGACUGAACCCUCUGAAAUUUGAGCCAAAAUAUGUCUCUCCUUUAAAUUAG